UUUAUAUGAGAGUUUGAUCCUGGCUCAGGAUGAACGCUGGCGGUGUGCCUAAUACAUGCAAGUCGUACGCACUGGCCCAACUAAUUGAUGGUGCUUGCACCUGAUUGACGUUGGAUCACCAGCGAGUGGCGGACGGGUGAGUAACACGUAGGUAACCUGCCCCGGAGCGGGGGAUAACAUUUGGAAACAGAUGCUAAUACCGCAUAACAACAAAAGCCACAUGGCUUUUGUUUGAAAGAUG
This is a ribosomal RNA of 241 nucleotides. It matches the Rfam family "Bacterial small subunit ribosomal RNA", at positions 1 to 210 of the family's 1533-position model.